RNAcentral lists this ribosomal RNA (619 nucleotides) under Virgibacillus dokdonensis. Its description in RNAcentral is "bacterial SSU rRNA". It matches the Rfam family "Bacterial small subunit ribosomal RNA", at positions 69 to 664 of the family's 1533-position model. The record is from RNAcentral. Lineage: Bacteria; Bacillati; Bacillota; Bacilli; Caryophanales; Bacillaceae.
GCAGAUCUCCUUCGGGAGUGACGCUUGUGGAACGAGCGGCGGACGGGUGAGUAACACGUGGGCAACCUACCUGUAAGACUGGGAUAACUCCGGGAAACCGGGGCUAAUACCGGAUGAAACAAAGCGUCGCAUGACGCAAUGUUAAAAGGCGGCAUAUGCUGUCACUUACAGAUGGGCCCGCGGCGCAUUAGCUAGUUGGUGAGGUAAAGGCUCACCAAGGCAACGAUGCGUAGCCGACCUGAGAGGGUGAUCGGCCACACUGGGACUGAGACACGGCCCAGACUCCUACGGGAGGCAGCAGUAGGGAAUCUUCCGCAAUGGACGAAAGUCUGACGGAGCAACGCCGCGUGAGUGAUGAAGGUUUUCGGAUCGUAAAACUCUGUUGUUAGGGAAGAACAAGUGCCAUUCGAAUAGGUUGGCACCUUGACGGUACCUAACCAGAAAGCCCCGGCUAACUACGUGCCAGCAGCCGCGGUAAUACGUAGGGGGCAAGCGUUGUCCGGAAUUAUUGGGCGUAAAGCGCGCGCAGGCGGUCCUUUAAGUCUGAUGUGAAAGCCCACGGCUUAACCGUGGAGGGCCAUUGGAAACUGGAGGACUUGAGUACAGAAGAGGAGAGUGG